RNAcentral lists this ribosomal RNA (1017 nucleotides) under uncultured bacterium. Its description in RNAcentral is "bacterial SSU rRNA". It matches the Rfam family "Bacterial small subunit ribosomal RNA", at positions 355 to 1375 of the family's 1533-position model. The record is from RNAcentral.
UGAGGAAUAUUGGUCAAUGGGCGAGAGCCUGAACCAGCCAAGUAGCGUGAAGGAUGACUGCCCUAUGGGUUGUAAACUUCUUUUAUAAAGGAAUAAAGUCGGGUAUGGAUACCCGUUUGCAUGUACUUUAUGAAUAAGGAUCGGCUAACUCCGUGCCAGCAGCCGCGGUAAUACGGAGGAUCCGAGCGUUAUCCGGAUUUAUUGGGUUUAAAGGGAGCGCAGACGGGGGAUUAAGUCAGUUGUGAAAGUUUGCGGCUCAACCGUAAAAUUGCAGUUGAUACUGGUUCCCUUGAGUGCAGUUGAGGCAGGCGGAAUUCGUGGUGUAGCGGUGAAAUGCAUAGAUAUCACGAAGAACCCCGAUUGCGAAGGCAGCCUGCUAAGCUGUAACUGACGUUGAGGCUCGAAAGUGUGGGUAUCAAACAGGAUUAGAUACCCUGGUAGUCCACACGGUAAACGAUGGAUACUCGCUGUUGGCGAUAUACUGUCAGCGGCCAAGCGAAAGCAUUAAGUAUCCCACCUGGGGAGUACGCCGGCAACGGUGAAACUCAAAGGAAUUGACGGGGGCCCGCACAAGCGGAGGAACAUGUGGUUUAAUUCGAUGAUACGCGAGGAACCUUACCCGGGCUUAAAUUGCAGAUGAAUUACGGUGAAAGCCGUAAGCCGCAAGGCAUCUGUGAAGGUGCUGCAUGGUUGUCGUCAGCUCGUGCCGUGAGGUGUCGGCUUAAGUGCCAUAACGAGCGCAACCCUUGUUGUCAGUUACUAACAGAUUCCGCUGAGGACUCUGACAAGACUGCCAUCGUAAGAUGUGAGGAAGGUGGGGAUGACGUCAAAUCAGCACGGCCCUUACGUCCGGGGCUACACACGUGUUACAAUGGGGGGUACAGAGGGCCGCUACCACGCGAGUGGAUGCCAAUCCCCAAAACCUCUCUCAGUUCGGACUGGAGUCUGCAACCCGACUCCACGAAGCUGGAUUCGCUAGUAAUCGCGCAUCAGCCACGGCGCGGUGAAUACGUUCCC